This 1394-nucleotide ribosomal RNA is filed under the name uncultured Tepidimicrobium sp. RNAcentral describes it as "bacterial SSU rRNA". It matches the Rfam family "Bacterial small subunit ribosomal RNA". Lineage: Bacteria; Bacillati; Bacillota; Tissierellia; Tissierellales; Tepidimicrobiaceae. The record is from RNAcentral.
GUUUGAUCCUGGCUCAGGACGAACGCUGGCGGCGUGCAUAACACAUGCAAGUCGAGCGAAGAACUUAUUAUGAAAUCUUCGGAUUGAUUAGUAAACUUCUUAGCGGCGGAUGGGUGAGUAACGCGUGAGGAACCUGCCUUGCACAAGGGGAUAGCCUCGGGAAACCGGGAUUAAUACCCUAUGAUACUUUUAGUUCACAUGAACUUAAAGUUAAAGCGAUUUAGCGGUGUAAGAUGGUCUCGCGUCCCAUUAGCUAGUUGGUGAGAUAACGGCUCACCAAGGCUGCGAUGGGUAGCCGGCUUGAGAGAGUGAACGGCCACACUGGAACUGAGACACGGUCCAGACUCCUACGGGAGGCAGCAGUGGGAAUUAUUGCACAAUGGAGGAAACUCUGAUGCAGCGACGCCGCGUUGAGGCGAUGAAGGUUUUCGGAUCGUAAAGCUCUGUCCUAGGGGACGAUAAUGACCGGUACCCUAGGAGGAAGCCCCGGCUAACUACGUGCCAGCAGCCGCGGUAAUACGUAGGGGGCGAGCGUUGUCCCGGAUUUAUUGGGCGUAAAGGGUACGCAGGCGGCCAUGUAAGUCAGAUGUGAAAGAUCACGGCUCAACCGUGGUAAGCAUUUGAAACUGCUUGGCUUGAGUUAAGGAGAGGAAAGUGGAAUUCCUGGUGUAGCGGUGAAAUGCGUAGAUAUCAGGAGGAAUAUCAGUGGCGAAGGCGACUUUCUAGACUUAUACUGACGCUGAGGUACGAAAGCGCGGGGAGCAAACAGGAUUAGAUACCCUGGUAGUCCGCGCUGUAAACGAUGAGUGCUAGGUGUCGGGGGUCAAACCUCGGUGCCGCAGUUAACACAUUAAGCACUCCGCCUGGGGAGUACGUUCGCAAGAAUGAAACUCAAAGGAAUUGACGGGGACCCGCACAAGCAGCGGAGCAUGUGGUUUAAUUCGAUGCAACGCGAAGAACCUUACCAGGACUUGACAUGCCUCUGACCGAUCUAGAGAUAGAUCUUUACCUUUCGGGUACAGGGGACACAGGUGGUGCAUGGUUGUCGUCAGCUCGUGUCGUGAGAUGUUGGGUAAGUCCCGCAACGAGCGCAACCCUUGCCUUUAGUUGCAAACAGUUAGGCUGUGCACCUCUCUAGAAGGGACUGCCGAUGAUAAAUCGGAGGAAGGUGGGGAUGACGUCAAAUCAUCAUGCCCUUUAUGUCCUGGGCUACACACGUGCUACAAUGGUCGGUACACUGGGUUUUGCCACCUCGCGAGAGGGCGCUAAUCCCUUAAAGCCGAUCUCAGUUCGGAUUGCAGGCUGCAAUUCGCCUGCAUGAAGCCGGAGUUGCUAGUAAUCGUGGAUCAGAAUGCCGCGGUGAAUGCGUUCCCGGGUCUUGUACACACCGCCCG